GUGGGGAAUUUUGGACAAUGGGCGCAAGCCUGAUCCAGCAAUGCCGCGUGUGUGAAGAAGGCCUUCGGGUUGUAAAGCACUUUUGGCAGGAAAGAAAUAGUGCGUGCUAAUACCAUGCGCGAAUGACGGUACCUGCAGAAUAAGCACCGGCUAACUACGUGCCAGCAGCCGCGGUAAGACGUAGGGUGCAAGCGUUAAUCGGAAUUACUGGGCGUAAAGCGUGCGCAGGCGGUUUUGUAAGACAGGUGUGAAAUCCCCGGGCUCAACCUGGGAACUGCACUUGGGACUGCAAGGCUAGAGUGUGUCAGAGGGAGGUGGGAUUCCGCGUGUAGCAGUGAAAUGCGUAGAGAUGCGGAGGAACACCGAUGGCGAAGGCAGCCUCCUGGGAUAACACUGACGCUCAGGCACGAAAGCGUGGGGAGCAAACAGGAUUAGAAACCCGAGUAGUCC
RNAcentral lists this ribosomal RNA (450 nucleotides) under uncultured bacterium. Its description in RNAcentral is "partial 16S ribosomal RNA". It matches the Rfam family "Bacterial small subunit ribosomal RNA", at positions 354 to 796 of the family's 1533-position model. The record is from RNAcentral.